UACGAGGGAUGCAAGCGUUAUCCGGAAUUAUUGGGCGUAAAGCGUUUGUAGGCGGGCGAGUGUGUUUAAUGUUAAAUCUUAAAGCUCAACUUUGAAAUUGCGUUAAAAACUGCUUGUCUUGAGUAUGGUAGGGGUAAAGGGAAUUCCCAGUGUAGCGGUGAAAUGCGUAGAUAUUGGGAAGAACACUAAACAGCGAAGGCACUUUACUAGGCUAAUACUGACGCUGAGAAACGAAAGGUAAGGUAGCGAAACGGAUUAGAUACCCGUGUAGUCUUACCCGUAAACUAUGGACACUAAACGGUAAAUUUUUAAUUUACUGUUAAAGCUAACGCGUUAAGUGUCCCGCCUGGGGAGUAUGCUUGCAAAAGUGAAACUCAAAGGAAUUGACGGGGGCCCGCACAAGCGGUGGAGCAUGUGGUUUAAUUCGACGGUACACGAAGAACCUUACCAGGAUUUGACAUGCUAGAUAGUUGCUUGAAAGAGUAACGUGCCGUAAGGAAUCUAGACACAGGUGGUGCAUGGCUGUCGUCAGUUCGUGUUGUGAAAUGUUGGGUUAAGUCCCGCAACGAACGCAACCCUUGUCUUUAGUUAUUUUCUAAAGAGACUGCCUGUAAUAAACAGGAGGAAGGUAAGGAUGAGGUCAAGUCAUCAUGCCCCUUAUGUCCUGGGCUACACACGUGCUACAAUGGGAAAGACAAUGAGCUGCAAAUCUGUAAAUUUAAGCAAAUCUCUUAAACUUUCUCGUAGUUCGGAUUGUGGGCUGCAACUCGCCCACAUGAAGUUGGAAUCGCUAGUAAUCGCCAGUCAGCUAUAUGGCGGUGAAUCCGUUCCCGGGCCU
This 838-nucleotide ribosomal RNA is filed under the name uncultured bacterium. Its description in RNAcentral is "bacterial SSU rRNA". It matches the Rfam family "Bacterial small subunit ribosomal RNA", at positions 524 to 1381 of the family's 1533-position model. The record is from RNAcentral.